AGUGAACGCUGGCGGUAGGCCUAACACAUGCAAGUCGAACGGCAGCACAGUAAGAGCUUGCUCUUACGGGUGGCGAGUGGCGGACGGGUGAGGAAUACAUCGGAAUCUACUUUUUCGUGGGGGAUAACGUAGGGAAACUUACGCUAAUACCGCAUACGACCUACGGGUGAAAGCAGGGGAUCUUCGGACCUUGCGCGAUUGAAUGAGCCGAUGUCGGAUUAGCUAGUUGGCGGGGUAAAGGCCCACCAAGGCGACGAUCCGUAGCUGGUCUGAGAGGAUGAAUCGCCACACUUGAACUUAAAAAACGUUCCGACUCCUUACGGAAGGCACCAUUGGGAAUAUUUGAACAAUGGCCGAAACCCGAUCCCACCCUAACGCCUUGGUUAAAGAAGCCUUCCGGUUUUAAAACCCUUUUUUUUGGAAAAAAAAACAACCAGUUAAUACCCCGCUUUUUUGACCGUAACCAAAGAAUAAACAACCGCCAACCUCCUU
This 492-nucleotide ribosomal RNA is filed under the name uncultured bacterium. RNAcentral's name for it is "partial 16S ribosomal RNA". It matches the Rfam family "Bacterial small subunit ribosomal RNA", at positions 29 to 507 of the family's 1533-position model. The record is from RNAcentral.